UCCAGUAGCUUUUCUUCAGUUUUCCAGCAGCUUCUCUUCUUCUUCUUCUUCCUCCUAUCCUCCUCUCCAUUCCAUGUUUCUUUGCACUUUUCAUGGAAAUAUCCUUUGAAACCUUUAAAGCUUCCCUAAAUAAGCUUUAUUUCUCAUGUUUUUCUACACCCUUUCGUAAGGUUUUUCAUGCUCUUCCCUAAAUAAGUGAUUUCCCUUAUUAGCUUGGAAGAAUUUUGGAAAGAAAUUCAAUUACAAAUCCACUAAGGUGAGUGAACUUGCAUUUAAAAUAUUUUGGGAAAUGUAUUGGUAUUUGGAUGAAGCAUGUGAAUGAUUUUUAUUUGAUUUUUCCUUAAAGAUUAUGCAUGGGAACAAGCCUUUAUUAAAACGUUUUAUGUGGUGAGUGUGCAAUAUGAUGAAUCCU
This 412-nucleotide long non-coding RNA is filed under the name Theobroma cacao (cacao). Its description in RNAcentral is "long non-coding RNA (TCAC_LNC001246)". Lineage: Eukaryota; Viridiplantae; Streptophyta; Magnoliopsida; Malvales; Malvaceae. The record is from RNAcentral.